This 457-nucleotide ribosomal RNA is filed under the name uncultured bacterium. RNAcentral's name for it is "bacterial SSU rRNA". It matches the Rfam family "Bacterial small subunit ribosomal RNA", at positions 29 to 529 of the family's 1533-position model. The record is from RNAcentral.
AACGAACGCUGGCGGCAGGCCUAACACAUGCAAGUCGAGCGCCCCGCAAGGGGAGCGGCGGACGGGUGAGUAACGCGUGGGAACGUGCCUCUUGCUACGGAAUAGCCUCGGGAAACUGGGAGUAAUACCGUAUGUGCCCUACGGGGGAAAGAUUUAUCGGCAAGAGAUCGGCCCGCGUUGGAUUAGGUAGUUGGUGGGGUAAUGGCCUACCAAGCCGACGAUCCAUAGCUGGUUUGAGAGGAUGAUCAGCCACACUGGGACUGAGACACGGCCCAGACUCCUACGGGAGGCAGCAGUGGGGAAUCUUAGACAAUGGGCGCAAGCCUGAUCUAGCCAUGCCGCGUGAGCGAUGAAGGCCUUAGGGUUGUAAAGCUCUUUCAGUGGGGAAGAUAAUGACUGUACCCACAGAAGAAGCCCCGGCUAACUCCGUGCCAGCAGCGCGGUAAACAUACUCGUA